RNAcentral lists this transfer RNA (74 nucleotides) under Microcaldota archaeon. Its description in RNAcentral is "Candidatus Micrarchaeota archaeon (hot springs metagenome) tRNA-Phe". It matches the Rfam family "tRNA". From Rfam's summary of the family: Transfer RNA (tRNA) molecules are approximately 80 nucleotides in length. Their secondary structure includes four short double-helical elements and three loops (D, anti-codon, and T loops). Lineage: Archaea; Nanobdellati; Microcaldota. The record is from RNAcentral.
GCCGCGGUAGCUCAACCCGGGAGAGCACUCGGCUGAAGACCGAGGUGUUGCUGGUUCAAAUCCGGCCCGCGGCA